This 792-nucleotide long non-coding RNA is filed under the name Drosophila guanche. Lineage: Eukaryota; Metazoa; Arthropoda; Insecta; Diptera; Drosophilidae. The record is from RNAcentral.
GUAGAUUUUGUAAAAACAAAAAGAAAAAAACAAAACAAAUAAAAAUUAAAAAACACUACACACCAUCCCAUACAUAUGUAACAUGUGUGGUGUACAAAUAGCAGUAAAUUGCAGGAGCGAAGUAUACAGCAUAUACCAACACUGUUAACACUGGUGAGUGUUUCGCAAGCGCUAUUAAUAAAUAUUUUAAUGUAAUUUUGUUCAAUUUCUAUUUUAGGAUAGAACAGCUUUGUUGAUUGUUAUGUGCAGUUACUCUUCAGGCUAUACAUGGGCAUUUUGAAUAUAAAGAUGAUUAUAAUCAGCACGAUUAUCAGCACGACAAUGGUAACAGCGUUGUCGUAGAGGAAUUGGUAGCCAACUGCAAAUUUUGAUCGUUGAUUGUUUGAGUUGCUCAUAAGGUUGCUCAUAAGGUCUGCCUUGGUGGCCGACAUUGCCAUUGCCUCUUAUGUUUCAGUCAAGGGCUUGUCUAAUUGAUCAAAAUGAUGACGUUUGGUGACGUCCAUUAAGACAUUUUUGGCGCUGGCUAUCACCUGGAAGGCAUCAGUGGCACCGGGGUGUUUGUUUUUGUCGGGAUGCACCACCCGGGACAAUUGUCUGUAGGCCGAACUUAUCUGAUCGUUCGUGGCUGUUUGUGGCACAUUCAAAACGGCAUAGUAAUUGUUGCGGACCGCAUUGACACGACGCAUAGCUUCCACCUGCUCGUCCAUUUUGCUUUAGUUCAAUGAAUAAAUCAAUUUUUUGAGUAAGUUGAUUUAUUUUACAAGGGCUAACGCGAAUGACUGCCUCGAAUAC